Molecule: non-coding RNA, 107 nt
Organism: Gossypium hirsutum (cotton)
Lineage: Eukaryota; Viridiplantae; Streptophyta; Magnoliopsida; Malvales; Malvaceae
Source: Rfam
AAUCCAUGAUGCGAAAACCUUCUCAAAAGAUCUUUAAAUCUCUCCCAUGCAUCGUACAGUGUUUUAAGCUCAAAUUGAGAAAAAGAAGAUAUAUCAUUCCUCAACUU